UACGAGAGGCCCAAACGUUAUUCGGAAUUACUGGGCUUAAAGAGUUCGUAGGCGGCAUUGCAAGUAGGGUGUGAAAGCCCUCGGCUCAACCGAGGAAUUGCGCUCUAAACUGCAGUGCUCGAGGAACCUAGAGGUGAGCAGAACAGAUGGUGGAGCGGUGAAAUGCGUAGAUAUCGGGAGGAACACCAGUGGCGAAGGCGACUUCCUGGCCUGUUCUUGACGCUGAGGCGCGAAAGCUAGGGGAGCAAACGGG
This 253-nucleotide ribosomal RNA is filed under the name uncultured bacterium. RNAcentral's name for it is "partial 16S ribosomal RNA". It matches the Rfam family "Bacterial small subunit ribosomal RNA", at positions 524 to 776 of the family's 1533-position model. The record is from RNAcentral.